This is a long non-coding RNA of Tachysurus fulvidraco (yellow catfish), 681 nucleotides long. RefSeq lists it as uncharacterized. The transcript has 3 exons. NCBI's taxonomy places the organism in Eukaryota, Metazoa, Chordata, Actinopteri, Siluriformes, Bagridae. The record is from RefSeq and is a predicted model, not a curated record.
ACUCACAAAAUAAGUUUUGUUGAGAUUAUUAUUUUUGUUUCCUUUCCUUCUAUUGCAAUGGUAUUUGAUUUUAUUGUUUAUUUAAUAGAAUACUAAUGAGAGAUUACGGAAAAAAACACUAUGAUGUACUUCAUCAAUUGGACACAGGGUGGCAGUAACCACGAACAGUGUUACACUGAGAUAAUUAGCGGUGCAGAGCAAAAUGAGCUCAUAAUCCGUGUUACUGGAGAAUGAGCAACAGUUGUCCUGCGUCGCCGAUUUCUCAGGAAUAUUUCUGAUAUUUUCAGUUUCAGGAUUAUCUAUAUAUCUGCCAGCGGGGACCUAGCUGGGGCCCGCGACAAGUGCAUGCCAUAGCCACCAAAGUUAAACCCAGAUCCUUUACAGGAAAGACUCAGAGUUUCUCCAGCAUGAGAACUCACUUAUGAAGCUGAUUAGUAGCAGGAAUAAGGAGAGUGGGAUCUUCAUGGUGAGUGUUGAUGAGACUCGAUCUCUCCACUCAGCUCAGCUGCACAUAAAUACUGCAUGGACACACAGCAGUCUGGAUUUGCAUCGUGAUGUCAUGAUAGAAAACAUGUGGGAGUCAUGAUGAUGUAACGGAGAGGAACUGCAACUAAUCCUUGAUAGUGAUAUGAUUAUUACAGUGUGUAUCAUGUGCAGUAACAUCAGAAAUUUUGUAUUAUG